RNAcentral lists this ribosomal RNA (557 nucleotides) under Methylobacterium sp. LDB-B016. RNAcentral's name for it is "bacterial SSU rRNA". It matches the Rfam family "Bacterial small subunit ribosomal RNA", at positions 102 to 694 of the family's 1533-position model. RNAcentral also lists the same sequence under 73 other names. The record is from RNAcentral. Lineage: Bacteria; Pseudomonadati; Pseudomonadota; Alphaproteobacteria; Hyphomicrobiales; Methylobacteriaceae.
ACGGGUGAGUAACACGUGGGAACGUACCCUUUGGUUCGGAAUAACGCUGGGAAACUAGCGCUAAUACCGGAUACGCCCUUUUGGGGAAAGGCUUGCUGCCGAAGGAUCGGCCCGCGUCUGAUUAGCUAGUUGGUGGGGUAAUGGCCUACCAAGGCGACGAUCAGUAGCUGGUCUGAGAGGAUGAUCAGCCACACUGGGACUGAGACACGGCCCAGACUCCUACGGGAGGCAGCAGUGGGGAAUAUUGGACAAUGGGCGCAAGCCUGAUCCAGCCAUGCCGCGUGAGUGAUGAAGGCCUUAGGGUUGUAAAGCUCUUUUGUCCGGGACGAUAAUGACGGUACCGGAAGAAUAAGCCCCGGCUAACUUCGUGCCAGCAGCCGCGGUAAUACGAAGGGGGCUAGCGUUGCUCGGAAUCACUGGGCGUAAAGGGCGCGUAGGCGGCCAUUCAAGUCGGGGGUGAAAGCCUGUGGCUCAACCACAGAAUUGCCUUCGAUACUGUUUGGCUUGAGUUUGGUAGAGGUUGGUGGAACUGCGAGUGUAGAGGUGAAAUUCGUAGA